CCUACGGGGAGCUGCAGUGGGGAAUAUUGGACAAUGGGCGAAAGCCUGAUCCAGCCAUGCCGCGUGUGUGAAGAAGGCCUUCGGGUUGUAAAGCACUUUCAGUGGGGAAGAAAGCCUUGGGGCUAAUACCCUCGAGGAAGGACAUCACCCACAGAAGAAGCACCGGCUAACUCCGUGCCAGCAGCCGCGGUAAUACGGAGGGUGCGAGCGUUAAUCGGAAUUACUGGGCGUAAAGCGCGCGUAGGCGGUCUGAUAAGCCGGUUGUGAAAGCCCCGGGCUCAACCUGGGAACGGCAUCCGGAACUGUCAGGCUAGAGUGCAGGAGAGGAAGGUAGAAUUCCCGGUGUAGCAGUGAAAUGCGUAGAGAUCGGGAGGAAUACCAGUGGCGAAGGCGGCCUUCUGGACUGACACUGACGCUGAGGUGCGAAAGCGUGGGUAGCAAACAGGAUUAGAUACCCCGGUAGUC
RNAcentral lists this ribosomal RNA (465 nucleotides) under Vreelandella stevensii. RNAcentral describes it as "partial 16S ribosomal RNA". It matches the Rfam family "Bacterial small subunit ribosomal RNA", at positions 338 to 795 of the family's 1533-position model. Lineage: Bacteria; Pseudomonadati; Pseudomonadota; Gammaproteobacteria; Oceanospirillales; Halomonadaceae. The record is from RNAcentral.